Molecule: ribosomal RNA, 601 nt
Filed under: Thinopyrum bessarabicum
Lineage: Eukaryota; Viridiplantae; Streptophyta; Magnoliopsida; Poales; Poaceae
Description: eukaryotic LSU rRNA
Rfam family: 5.8S ribosomal RNA (bases 227-382)
Source: RNAcentral
UCGUGACCCUGACCAAAACAGACCGCGCACGCGUCAUCCAAUCCGUCGGCGACGGCACCGUCCGUCGCUUGACCAAUGCCUCGACCACCUCCCCUCCUCGGAGUGGGUGGGGGCUCGGGGCAAAAGAACCCACGGCGCCGAAGGCGUCAAGGAACACUGUGCCUAACUCGGGGGCAUGGCUAGCUUGCUAGCCGUCCCUCGUGUUGCAAAGCUAUUUAAUCCACACGACUCUCGGCAACGGAUAUCUCGGCUCUCGCAUCGAUGAAGAACGUAGCGAAAUGCGAUACCUGGUGUGAAUUGCAGAAUCCCGCGAACCAUCGAGUCUUUGAACGCAAGUUGCGCCCGAGGCCACUCGGCCGAGGGCACGCCUGCCUGGGCGUCACGCCAAAACACGCUCCCAAACCCCUCAUCGGGAAUCGGGAUGCGGCAUCUGGUCCCUCGUCUCGCAAGGGGCGGUGGACCGAAGAUCGGGCUGCCGGCGUACCGCGCCGGACACAGCGCAUGGUGGGCGUCCUCGCUUUAUCAACGCAGUGCAUCCGACGCGCAGCCGGCAUGCUGGCCUCAAAAUGACCCAGCAAACGAAGCGCACGUCGCUUCGACC